Molecule: ribosomal RNA, 440 nt
Filed under: uncultured Bradyrhizobiaceae bacterium
Lineage: Bacteria; Pseudomonadati; Pseudomonadota; Alphaproteobacteria; Hyphomicrobiales; Nitrobacteraceae
Description: bacterial SSU rRNA
Rfam family: Bacterial small subunit ribosomal RNA
Source: RNAcentral
CCUACGGGUGGCAGCAGUGGGGAAUAUUGGACAAUGGGGGCAACCCUGAUCCAGCCAUGCCGCGUGAGUGAUGAAGGCCCUAGGGUUGUAAAGCUCUUUUGUGCGGGAAGAUAAUGACGGUACCGCAAGAAUAAGCCCCGGCUAACUUCGUGCCAGCAGCCGCGGUAAUACGAAGGGGGCUAGCGUUGCUCGGAAUCACUGGGCGUAAAGGGUGCGUAGGCGGGUCUUUAAGUCAGGGGUGAAAUCCUGGAGCUCAACUCCAGAACUGCCUUUGAUACUGAAGAUCUUGAGUCCGGGAGAGGUGAGUGGAACUGCGAGUGUAGAGGUGAAAUUCGUAGAUAUUCGCAAGAACACCAGUGGCGAAGGCGGCUCACUGGCCCGGUACUGACGCUGUGGCACGAAAGCGUGGGGAGCAAACAGGAUUAGAUACCCGUGUAGUC